This 1733-nucleotide long non-coding RNA is filed under the name Nicotiana benthamiana. Its description in RNAcentral is "long non-coding RNA (NBEN_LNC026830)". Lineage: Eukaryota; Viridiplantae; Streptophyta; Magnoliopsida; Solanales; Solanaceae. The record is from RNAcentral.
UGUUAGCAAAUUUCACGGCUCCGCUUUAGUCGCGUCUUUAAAUAAAUUUACCUUCCUAAAUACGAGUGUGCAUUUCAUGUAACCUAAAUUCAAAUCCCAAAACGUUGGAUAAAAAUGUGUUUCGAAUCCCGGUGUAUUUCAUGCGAUGCGAUCCAAAGACAUGUUUUAAACGACGUUCACAUUCCCAAAAAUUUAAUUAAAAGUAGUAAACAAUUGAAAAUUGCACCAUAGGAUGAACAUGUAUAAAAAUCAGAUUUUUAGUCACUUAUAAUAGUUUAAGCGACCAUGCUAGAACCAUGGGAUCCGAGAGUGCCUAACACCUUCCCUCAGGUCAACAAAUGAGGGUCAUCAGAGCAGCAGUAGAACUUAAUACCAACAACAACACAACCCAGAUUCAUCGAUCGAAACACUGAAAACCUGCUUGAGAAUUCAAUGGAAUAGUGGUCCUUAACAAUUUGAAACAAAAAACUCCUCCCAAAUUCAAUAUCACUCCAUAUGAACUCUCAGAAUAUACUAGAAAACGUGUCCAGACAUGAAAACUUCAGAAAUCGACUAAGAAAAGAGAAAAAGAUUCAAUGGAAUAGUAAAAAAUUCUCAUUAUUUUCCUUUUCUAAAAUUUUCAGCUCCUUUUUUCUGCCUUGAAAGGCAAGUAAAGGUGCAUUUAUAGGAAAGUGAAUACUGCAACGAACAAAUUUCAGCUUUUAAUUUUAUCCCUCUUUAAUAUUGCUUUUUUGCUUAGAAAUCUUUAGGUAAAAAUCUGAAAAUCAAGUUAAAUCCCCCACCCAGCUUCCUAGAAGCUUCCCAAUCAGUUACCAAAAGAUUCCCAACCCCAAAAUUCCCAAACUACCCCACAACCCCUGAAUUUACCCUUAGCCUUAUACCUGGGUCAGGCAUAUGGGUCAAGUUGACCUAUAUAAUGGAUCUGAAGUAUGAGUUAAAUUCCUACCUGGGCUGAUCACUUCCCAUUUGGACCUAAUUCAAUUCAAGAAUUCGAACAACAGGGUUUAGGGCAGAAAAAUUGAGGAACAAUGGAAUCAAAUAUAAUUUUGGGCCAAAUGUCCUCCUUGACCCAAAACAAAAGGAAAACAAUCAACAGAAACAAAGACUAAACCCAUGACUAUGAGCAAUCUACAGAAAACAGUAAUUAAUCAAUUAAAAUGAAUCCAAAGAAACACAUGCAAAUGAUGAUUAUUUGCGGUCGAGGAUAAUAAUAAGAACAUAAAAGGGGAAUCCGAGGAUACCUAUCGAAAAAUGGGCAGACAAACAUCUCGAACUAAGACUUCAAUGAAUACUUGCGGCCGAGACGCACCAUAAUCGUGUUUUCUUGACUGAGGACUCACUGCUAAAAUCGAUUUCGUCCUCAAAUUCUUAAAACUUUGCUGAUUCAGGCUUUCUUUGAUUCAUAUUCUUAACACUCGAACAACUUGGAAGAGAUUUGAAGCAGACGGAAUGGGGUUCAGAAUGAAGGAGGCUUGGGAUUAUUUGGUGUAACUUUUGUGAGAAUUUGGGGUUGGAUGCCGGCAACAAUGAGGUUAAACCAAGAGAGGCAUUCUCUGAGAGAGGGAGAUGAAAGAGGUGAAAAAGAUACUAGGUUUAGUUGUAAAGGAUUCGGACAUAUUAAUUGUAAAUGGGAGAUAGCAUUUGGGCCGUUGGAUACUGGGAGAUGAAAGGUCCAGAUUGAUUGAUCUUGGUGUAACUGGGAACUGCAUCGUUUGAUUGGGAAGGGGAUGGAC